This 508-nucleotide ribosomal RNA is filed under the name uncultured bacterium. RNAcentral describes it as "partial 16S ribosomal RNA". It matches the Rfam family "Bacterial small subunit ribosomal RNA", at positions 28 to 523 of the family's 1533-position model. The record is from RNAcentral.
GAUGAACGCUAGCGGCAGGCUUAAUACAUGCAAGUCGAGGGGCAGCAGGUCCCGCAGCAAUGCGGGAUGCUGGCGACCGGCAAACGGGUGCGGAACACGUACAGAACCUUCCUUUAAGUGGGGAAUAGCCCGGGGAAACCCGGAUUAAUACCCCGCAACAUAAUGAAGUGGCAUCACUUUAUUAUUAUAGCAGCAAUUCGCUUGAAGAUGGCUGUGCGGCUGAUUAGGUAGUUGGCGGGGUAACGGCCCACCAAGCCUACGAUCAGUAACUGGUGUGAGAGCACGACCAGUCACACGGGCACUGAGACACGGGCCCGACUCCUACGGGAGGCAGCAGUAAGGAAUAUUGGGCAAUGGACGCAAGUCUGACCCAGCCAUGCCGCGUGGAGGAUGAAGGUCCUCUGGAUUGUAAACUUCUUUUAUCUGGGAAGAAAUCUAUUUUUUCUAAAGUAGUUGACGGUACCAGAUGAAUAAGCACCGGCUAACUCCGUGCCAGCCGCCGCGGUAA